Molecule: ribosomal RNA, 482 nt
Filed under: uncultured bacterium
Lineage: Bacteria
Description: bacterial SSU rRNA
Rfam family: Bacterial small subunit ribosomal RNA
Source: RNAcentral
AGAGUUUGAUCAUGGCUCAGGAUGAACGCUGGCGGCGUGCCUAAUACAUGCAAGUCGAGCGGAAAGGCCUCUUCGGAGGUACUCGAGCGGCGGACGGCUGAGUAACGCGUAGGAACGUACCCCAAACUGAGGGAUAAGCACCAGAAAUGGUGUCUAAUACCGCAUGUGCUCUUCGGAGUAAAGCUUCGGCGGUUUGGGAACGGCCUGCGUAAGAUUAGCUUGUUGGUGAGGUAAUGGCUCACCAAGGCGACGAUCUUUAGCUGGUCUGAGAGGAUGAUCAGCCAGACUGGGACUGAGACACGGCCCAGACUCCUACGGGAGGCAGCAGUAGGGAAUUUUCCACAAUGGGCGAAAGCCUGAUGGAGCAACGCCGCGUGCAGGAUGAAUGCCUUAGGGUUGUAAACUGCUUUUAUAUGUGACGAAUAUGACGGUAGCAUAUGAAUAAGGAUCGGCUAACUCCGUGCCAGCAGCCGCGGUAAUUC